GGAUUUCUGUCGUGGUCAUCCGGCUCCGCCUGUAUAGGUGUGCGCCUGUUUGCCCUCGGCUUUCUUCCGGUAGCCUACCGCGCUUCACUGCGUGCGUGGGUGUUUUCCGGAACUUUUACUUUGAGAAAAAUAGAGUGUUUCAAGCAGGCUUGUCGCCCUGAAUACUUCAGCAUGGGAUAAUAAGAUAGGACCUUGGUUCUAUUUUGUUGGUCUCUAGGACCAAGGUAAUGGUUAAUAGGGACAGUUGGGGGCAUUCGUAUUUAACUGUCAGAGGUGAAAUUCUUAGAUUUGUUAAAGACGAACUACUGCGAAAGCAUUUGCCAAGGAUGUUUUCAUUAAUCAAGAACGACAGUAGGGGGUUUGAAGACGAUUAGAUACCGUCGUAAUCUCUACCAUAAACUAUGCCGACUAGAGAUAGGGAAUCCAUUAGCCCAAUCUUCCCUGCACCUCAUGAGAAAUCAAAGUCUCUGGGUUCUGGGGGGAGUAUGGUCGCAAGGCUGAAACUUAAAG
This 510-nucleotide ribosomal RNA is filed under the name Eimeria sp. 17_7. Its description in RNAcentral is "SSU rRNA". It matches the Rfam family "Eukaryotic small subunit ribosomal RNA", at positions 636 to 1149 of the family's 1831-position model. The record is from RNAcentral. Lineage: Eukaryota; Apicomplexa; Conoidasida; Eucoccidiorida; Eimeriidae.